ACACGACUACAUUAGAUACCCCUGUAGUCCUAGGCGUAAAUGAUGCGAGUUAAGUGUGGGGGCAUCUACGAGAUGGCCCUGUGCUGUAGGGUAGCCGUUAAACUCGCUGCCUGGGAAGUACGGCCGCAAGGCUGAAACUUAAAGGAAUUGGCGGGGGAGCACCACAACGGGUGGGGCUUGCGGUUUAAUUGGAUUCAACGCCGGAAAUCUUACCGGGACCGACAGCAACAUGAAGGCCAAGCUGAAGACUUUGCCGGAUUAGCUG
RNAcentral lists this ribosomal RNA (265 nucleotides) under uncultured archaeon. Its description in RNAcentral is "partial 16S ribosomal RNA". It matches the Rfam family "Archaeal small subunit ribosomal RNA", at positions 717 to 982 of the family's 1478-position model. The record is from RNAcentral.